CCUACGGGAGGCAGCAGUGAGGAAUAUUGGUCAAUGGGCGCGAGCCUGAACCAGCCAAGUAGCGUGAAGGAUGACUGCCCUACGGGUUGUAAACCUCUUUUAUAAAGGAAUAAAGUGAGGCACGUGUGCCUUUUUGUCUGUACUUUAUGAAUAAGGAUCGGCUAACUCCGUGCCAGCAGCCGCGGUAAUACGGAGGAUCCGAGCGUUAUCCGGAUUUAUUGGGUUUAAAGGGAGCGUAGAUGGGUUGUUAAGUCAGUUGUGAAAGUUUGCGGCUUAAACGUAAAAUUGCAAUUAAUACUGGCAGGCUAGAGUACAGAUGAGGUAGGCGGAAUACGUGGUGUAGCGGUGAAAUGUAUAGAUAUCACGUAGAACACCGAUAGCGAAGGCAGCUUACUAGACUGCCACUGACGUUGAUGCACGAGAGUAUGGGUAUCGAACAGGAUUAGAUACCCGUGUAGUC
This 460-nucleotide ribosomal RNA is filed under the name uncultured bacterium. Its description in RNAcentral is "partial 16S ribosomal RNA". It matches the Rfam family "Bacterial small subunit ribosomal RNA", at positions 338 to 795 of the family's 1533-position model. The record is from RNAcentral.